GAUGAACGCUGGCGGCGUGCCUAAUACAUGCCAGUCGAGCGAACAGACGAGGAGCUUUCUCCUCUGACGUUAGCGGCGGACGGGUGAGUAACACGUUGAUAACCUACCUAUAAGACUGGGAUAACUUCGGGAAACCGGAGCUAAUAACGGAUAAUAUAUUGAACCGCAUGGUUCAAUAGUGAAAGACGGUUUUGCUGUCACUUUUAGAUGGAUCCGCGCCGCAUUAGCUAGUUGGUAAGGUAACGGCUUACCAAGGCAACGAUGCGUAGCCGACCUGAGAGGGUGAUCGGCCACACUGGAACUGAGACACGGUCCAGACUCCUACGGGAGGCAGCAGUAGGGAAUCUUCCGCAAUGGGCGAAAGCCUGACGGAGCAACGCCGCGUGAGUGAUGAAGGUCUUCGGAUCGUAAAACUCUGUUAUUAGGGAAGAACAAAUGUGUAAGUAACUAUGCACGUCUUGACGGUACCUAAUCAGAAAGCCACGGCUAACUACGUG
Molecule: ribosomal RNA, 497 nt
Filed under: uncultured bacterium
Lineage: Bacteria
Description: partial 16S ribosomal RNA
Rfam family: Bacterial small subunit ribosomal RNA
Source: RNAcentral